RNAcentral lists this ribosomal RNA (550 nucleotides) under soil bacterium LM2-P1-22. Its description in RNAcentral is "bacterial SSU rRNA". It matches the Rfam family "Bacterial small subunit ribosomal RNA", at positions 355 to 896 of the family's 1533-position model. The record is from RNAcentral.
UAGGGAAUCUUCCGCAAUGGACGAAAGUCUGACGGAGCAACGCCGCGUGAGUGAAGAAGGUUUUCGGAUCGUAAAGCUCUGUUGUCAGGGAAGAACAAGUACGGAAGUAACUGUCCGUACCUUGACGGUACCUGACCAGAAAGCCACGGCUAACUACGUGCCAGCAGCCGCGGUAAUACGUAGGUGGCAAGCGUUGUCCGGAAUUAUUGGGCGUAAAGCGCGCGCAGGCGGCUUCUUAAGUCUGAUGUGAAAGCCCACGGCUCAACCGUGGAGGGUCAUUGGAAACUGGGAGGCUUGAGUGCAGAAGAGGAGAGCGGAAUUCCACGUGUAGCGGUGAAAUGCGUAGAGAUGUGGAGGAACACCAGUGGCGAAGGCGGCUCUCUGGUCUGUAACUGACGCUGAGGCGCGAAAGCGUGGGGAGCGAACAGGAUUAGAUACCCUGGUAGUCCACGCCGUAAACGAUGAGUGCUAAGUGUUGGAGGGUUUCCGCCCUUCAGUGCUGCAGCUAACGCAUUAAGCACUCCGCCUGGGGAGUACGGCCGCAAGGCUG